Leptonychotes weddellii (Weddell seal) is the source of this 1884-nucleotide non-coding RNA. The record is from RefSeq and is a predicted model, not a curated record. Lineage: Eukaryota; Metazoa; Chordata; Mammalia; Carnivora; Phocidae.
AGGAUUGGGAGUUUGUUCAUCACAGAUCCUGGACUCUAACCUGGACUGAGACACCAAGGGUUCAAUGCCUGCCUAGAAGAAGCUGUCUCCUACACACAGCGACCAGCGGCCAGAAUUCAAGAGGACCAUCGGAGGUCAUCUCAGCCUUUUAUCCAAUGUGAGAAUGAUCUGUCACCCACUGAUCACAGGGUUUAUCUGAAUGAUCUGGCUGGCUAAAUGAGCGACUAUUUUUUUUUUUUAAUGCACAUCCCUCCUACAUCCAUUCUUCCACAGAAAAAGCCAAUUUUUCCAUCAAGUUAUGUCAAAUCCUGCUCCAAGAAAAUGGAAUAAUUCUGUACCAUGAGAACAUCUCUCUGGAUUUUUUCCUUAUGUGAUCACCACCACCUGAAGAUAGUAUUGUCAAAAAAGAUACAGGAUCCCCAGAGCUCCUGGACGAAAAAUCUGCUCUAUUACGUCUGAGUGUUCCACAAGUUAAUGUUUAGAGCAACUCAUCUUGGAUCAUGAAUCGUGGGACGAAUCACCUGCUUUGAAAUGGCUCGAGACCCUUCCUUCCUUCCUGCAGAGAAUCUUCUGAGUUUGACCGCCUUUCACGCAUCAGCAGGCUGGUGCCUCCAUCCAGAAGAAAGUAUCCAAGACAUCCUGAGUAAAGAGCAGGAAGAGUUAAUGAACAUUUGUGGCCUUCAAGAGAAGCUCAGGAACCCCACGGUCACCCUUUGGCACUGCUGCUUUUCUCAGGGAACAAGAAAGAUGGCUGAAGACGGUCCCCUGCACCAAGCUUUGCAGUCCUGUUCCUGGGUGAUGGCCGAGAGGUAGCCUUCUGGCUGAAAUUAAUUUCAUUACAAAGUGAUUCUAUGCUUAUGUGGUUGUUCCACUGUUAGGCCAACUCUAAGAGCCAAGCCAGUCACCUGAAGGGGUGUGUCCAUUCAUUUCAGUGUUGCCGGAUAGCUGGGCAAGGGGGGCUGCAUAGGAGCACCCUGGGUGGGUGGGGGGCUGAGGUUCGUGAUCUCUGCAUGGGUUCCACCAGCACCAGGGGACUAGAGGAAUACGUAAGAGGACCUACUGUGACCCUCCCCACGUGGCGACGAGUCAGGAACUGCGGGGAGCGUGGACUCCGGAAGGUGUCUCUUAAAUAGUCCAGGCACCUUGAGCGUAUCAGACAAGAUGUGGACUGAGAGACGUGGCCAGGGGGCCUGGGAAUGAGUUAGCUGUGAAGGUUCAGAAAAAUAAGCUUUGUAAUCUGGAUGCUCGCUAAACUUCCUGUGUUUUCUUUGUUUGUUUUCCUUUGGUUUUCUUUUCUCAGUCUCUCUCUCUGUGUCUCUCUCUCUGUGUUUCUGUCUCUCUUUCCCUCCCUCAUUGAAAUUUCAGUCUCUCAGCUAGACGAAGGGAAACCAAGGGAACAGAUGGUUGGCCACACUUGGGCUGGAGCUCUGGAGGAUGAACAGUGACUCGGCGCUGGGCUGACAUGGUCCUGGCUGUGAGAGUCAGAGGAAGAGGAGGGCAAGGGAAGGAGGAGACUCGGGAGAGGCGUGGGCCCUGCUUGGUCAGCACCCUUGCCCCACCUGGAGAGUUGGCUUCCAGUUUUAAAGCCUUGGGGACUCUGUGUUUUGUUUAAAUAAGGGAAGCUGUUUCCCUUACAUCCUUUCAAAAAUAAAUAAAUAAAGAGGCUGUCAUAUCAUCUUACAGAUGCUGCUACCAAAAACAAAGGUUCAGAACUCUGACCAUUUUUUACAAAAUCAAAAGAUCAGAAGGUGGGAGUGGGAGGCAAGGAAGGAUUUUAGAUUCCGAGAAAGCCAGUUACCUGGUUUAUUUAUGUCUUGUGUUACUCUCACUGCCACCACCAGUAACAACAGGAGCAUGCCACCGACACCACCACCAUCACCAUCG